This is a long non-coding RNA of Monopterus albus (swamp eel), 369 nucleotides long. RefSeq lists it as uncharacterized. NCBI's taxonomy places the organism in Eukaryota, Metazoa, Chordata, Actinopteri, Synbranchiformes, Synbranchidae. The record is from RefSeq and is a predicted model, not a curated record. The transcript is spliced from 3 exons.
CUAUUAUAUGGUGUAGUCUUGUAUGUUUAUAGUCUUUAGAUUUGGUAGCUGAGGAAGGCAGCAGCAAGCCAUUGCCACGUGUAGUCUGCUGAACUGAGGGAGAAGUGUCUGACACCUCAUUGGCCAUUGAUGCGACACAGCUGAGGCACACCAGUUUGAGAAUGGAACUGAGACACACCCAGGAUACAACCAAGCAGAGGGCUGGUGAACAAAAGACACCUGCAGAGGCUUUAAAGGGAGAAGAUGUGUGUUGUGCAGAUGGGACACACAAAGCUCUAGCUACGCCACAGGUUCUCUGAAGAACAUUCAGCAAAAAGCAAAAGAUAUAUGGCAUAGGGAGUAGCUGGAGGCUCAUGGCCGCUGCAGUGC